Tupaia belangeri chinensis (Chinese tree shrew) is the source of this 505-nucleotide long non-coding RNA. RefSeq lists it as uncharacterized. NCBI's taxonomy places the organism in Eukaryota, Metazoa, Chordata, Mammalia, Scandentia, Tupaiidae. The transcript is spliced from 3 exons. The record is from RefSeq and is a predicted model, not a curated record.
GCUGGUCUGUCUCUCUUAUGUGCUUGAAAUCCUCUGUCAUAAAAAAGCGUCGAGGCUGCUGUCAGAGACGGUGGUGGAAUUCCAUGCUUCGUUCCCCUGCACUAGAAUCCAGCCACCCAGAGCUUCCCUCACCAUGUCAAGCUCUCAUUCAAGUGGCUGUCUAUGACCAUCUGUCGCAGGUGACAGGAAGAGCCACAUCUGCUCCUGCCACGCCCCCAUCUGGAAAGGUGCACAGCAGUUCACAGGUGGCGUGGAGCCUUGCUGUCCCUCCACUCCUGGGAGUCACAUUAUGAAGAACCAGUCAGACGAGACCGCCACAGCCUAGGCACCGGUCAGACUGGAGGGGCCCACCCUAAUCACCACAAGUGAAUCGCUUCCAUGAGAUCCAUCUCAGAAGACCGUUGUCCUCGGUACCCACAGCGAUAGGCUCCUGCACUGCCUCGGAACCAGACUCCACAAAUGCUCAAAUUCCUUAUGUAAAAUGCCUUGGUGUUUGCUUAUAAUU